Molecule: ribosomal RNA, 1508 nt
Filed under: Coelostoma fabricii
Lineage: Eukaryota; Metazoa; Arthropoda; Insecta; Coleoptera; Hydrophilidae
Description: SSU rRNA
Rfam family: Eukaryotic small subunit ribosomal RNA
Source: RNAcentral
AGGCAGCAGGCGCGCAAAUUACCCACUCCCGGCACGGGGAGGUAGUGACGAAAAAUAACGAUACGGGACUCAUCCGAGGCCCCGUAAUCGGAAUGAGUACACUCUAAACCCUUUAACGAGGAUCAAUUGGAGGGCAAGUCUGGUGCCAGCAGCCGCGGUAAUUCCAGCUCCAAUAGCGUAUAUUAAAGUUGUUGCGGUUAAAAAGCUCGUAGUCGAAUCUGUGUCUCGCGCCGCCGGUUCAUCGCUCGCGGUGUUUAACUGGCGUGCCGCGGGACGUCCUGCCGGUGGGCUCUGCCCCUUCGGGGGCGGCCCAACUUCAAAUCCCACCGCGGUGCUCUUCGCUGAGUGUCGGGGUGGGCCGGCACGUUUACUUUGAACAAAUUAGAGUGCUUAAAGCAGGCUAAAACUUCGCCUGAAUAUUCUGUGCAUGGAAUAAUGGAAUAGGACCUCGGUUCUAUUUUGUUGGUUUUCGGAACCCCGAGGUAAUGAUUAAUAGGAACGGAUGGGGGCAUUCGUAUUGCGACGUUAGAGGUGAAAUUCUUGGAUCGUCGCAAGACGGACAGAAGCGAAAGCAUUUGCCAAAAACGUUUUCAUUGAUCAAGAACGAAAGUUAGAGGUUCGAAGGCGAUCAGAUACCGCCCUAGUUCUAACCAUAAACGAUGCCAGCUAGCGAUCCGCCGACGUUCCUCCGAUGACUCGGCGGGCAGUUUCAUGAUCAAGAACGAAAGUUAGAGGUUCGAAGGCGAUCAGAUACCGCCCUAGUUCUAACCAUAAACGAUGCCAGCUAGCGAUCCGCCGACGUUCCUCCGAUGACUCGGCGGGCAGCUUCCGGGAAACCAAAGCUUUUGGGUUCCGGGGGAAGUAUGGUUGCAAAGCUGAAACUUAAAGGAAUUGACGGAAGGGCACCACCAGGAGUGGAGCCUGCGGCUUAAUUUGACUCAACACGGGAAACCUCACCAGGCCCGGACACCGGAAGGAUUGACAGAUUGAGAGCUCUUUCUUGAUUCGGUGGGUGGUGGUGCAUGGCCGUUCUUAGUUGGUGGAGCGAUUUGUCUGGUUAAUUCCGAUAACGAACGAGACUCUAGCCUGCUAACUAGGCGUAUUUUCGACAUCUCAAAGGCCCCACGGCCCGGCGUUUUCGCGUCGUGGUCGCGCGUGGUUUUUACUGUCGGCGUACAAUCAAUUCUUCUUAGAGGGACAGGCGGCGUCUAGCCGCACGAGAUUGAGCAAUAACAGGUCUGUGAUGCCCUUAGAUGUUCUGGGCCGCACGCGCGCUACACUGAAGGAAUCAGCGUGUCCUCCCUGGCCGAGAGGCCCGGGUAACCCGCUGAACCUCCUUCGUGCUAGGGAUUGGGGCUUGCAAUUGUUCCCCAUGAACGAGGAAUUCCCAGUAAGCGCGAGUCAUAAGCUCGCGUUGAUUACGUCCCUGCCCUUUGUACACACCGCCCGUCGCUACUACCGAUUGAAUGAUUUAGUGAGGUCUUCGGACCGGUACGCGGCGGCGCUCC